AGCCCAAGCACUGCUUCCACGGGACAUGCAAGCUUUACUAUGAGAAAGAAGCAAAUAGAAGAGGAGAAUACUUACUCUCAACUCUCUGUAUACCAUCCUCUCUCAAUUAGAAGCUACUCUCACAAAAGCUCUCUCAAAUCCCACCAAGGAGUCCCUCUCACAGGCCUGCUAGUAUUAGGAUCCUUGACGCCCUUGAAUGCUUUCUAUGGAGCGAACCGCUAC
This 222-nucleotide long non-coding RNA is filed under the name Elaeis guineensis (African oil palm). Its description in RNAcentral is "long non-coding RNA (EGUI_LNC023109)". Lineage: Eukaryota; Viridiplantae; Streptophyta; Magnoliopsida; Arecales; Arecaceae. The record is from RNAcentral.